AGGACGAACGCUGGCGGCGUGCUUAACACAUGCAAGUCGAGCGGUAAGGCCCUUUCGGGGGUACACGAGCGGCGAACGGGUGAGUAACACGUGGGUGACCUGCCCUUAGCUCUGGGAUAAGCCUGGGAAACUGGGUCUAAUACCGGAUAUGACCUCGCGAUGCAUGUCGUGGGGUGGAAAGCCUUGUGCGGCUAGGGGAUGGGCCCGCGGCCUAUCAGCUUGUUGGUGGGGUGAUGGCCUACCAAGGCGACGACGGGUAGCCGGCCUGAGAGGGCGACCGGCCACACUGGGACUGAGACACGGCCCAGACUCCUACGGGAGGCAGCAGUGGGGAAUCUUGCGCAAUGGGCGAAAGCCUGACGCAGCGACGCCGCGUGAGGGAUGACGGCCUUCGGGUUGUAAACCUCUUUCAGCCCUGACGAAGCGAAGUGACGGUAGGGCAGAAGAGCACCGGCCAACUACGCGCCAGCAGCCGCGGUAA
RNAcentral lists this ribosomal RNA (481 nucleotides) under uncultured bacterium. RNAcentral's name for it is "SSU rRNA". It matches the Rfam family "Bacterial small subunit ribosomal RNA", at positions 26 to 523 of the family's 1533-position model. The record is from RNAcentral.